UUAUUCGGCGCANGCUGGCGGCGUGCUUAACACAUGCCAGUCGAGCGGUAAGGCCUCUUCGGGGGUACACUGAGCGGCGAACGGGUGAGUAACACGUGGGUGACCUGCCCUCAGCUCUGGGAUAAGCCUGGGAAACUGGGUCUAAUACCGGAUAUGACCAUUUGCCGCAUGGUGGGUGGUGGAAAGUUUUUUCGGCUGGGGAUGGGCCCGCGGCCUAUCAGCUUGUUGGUGGGGUGAUGGCCUACCAAGGCGACUUCYGGUAGCCNGCCUGA
RNAcentral lists this ribosomal RNA (272 nucleotides) under uncultured bacterium. RNAcentral describes it as "partial 16S ribosomal RNA". It matches the Rfam family "Bacterial small subunit ribosomal RNA", at positions 28 to 295 of the family's 1533-position model. The record is from RNAcentral.